This is a long non-coding RNA of Felis catus (domestic cat), 4356 nucleotides long. RefSeq lists it as uncharacterized. The transcript has 2 exons. The record is from RefSeq and is a predicted model, not a curated record. Lineage: Eukaryota; Metazoa; Chordata; Mammalia; Carnivora; Felidae.
CGGCAAGCUGUUACAGUAAGCAUAAAAACAAGCACGUCACACGAAGAAUAAAGUGCCAAGUUUCUGUCUCCCUGCCAACCUCAUUAGAAACCAGGGGUAAAGCACGUAUGCAUGCCAUUACAUCAUGCAUGUAAUUAGACAUUUGAAGCCAGCUCAGUAGGGGACCUUCUUCAUGCUUUUCUAAGUGUGCAGCUCCCAGUUCCGCACGGGAACCUGGGCGCCUCUGUUUUCCCUAAUCCUUUGUCCCUAUGGGGGUGGGACGGCGAAGGGAAAGAGGCGUGUCCCCAUUGACCGGAGCUCCGAGGUUCUGGAAAAGUCCUUCUUGCACACGUCUGUGAGAGUGGAACUGCCCUACUUUUCCGUCGCUGUGUGUUUCUUGUUGAGGACGUGUCGGUAGCCUGAUGAUGAGUUUCGUCGUCACACAGGGCGACACGGAUGGCCUGGCUCUUAAAAGGAAGCGCGGAAAGUAAUUGGGAACUGUACGAUCCGCUUGCCCGGCGGAGCGUAAAGCAAGACUGUGUUGUUCUCUGCACCCUUGACGGACUUGUGCGGUCUCUGUGUUUGUGGGGUGAAGGGACGCUGGAUUUGCCCGCCUCCUAGGCCUGCCGUCCUGCGGGCUGCCCUGAGGGAGGAAGCGGAAAGACUGAAGGUCCGGCCAGCAGUUGAACCAGAGUUUGGCAUCUGGCACUCUUCGAUAAAGUCUCAUCGAGUAGCUCCUGGGUGAGCGUUAGGAUACAGCUUCAGGGCAUUCGCCGGGGACUAGGCGGGCUCCAGCUGGAAUCCUGGCACAGCCACCUGCUAGCCUUUUUGCCUCCAGCAAAUGUAACUCGUUUGGUCUCAGCUUCUUCACUUGUAUGUAGCACUGGAGAAUGCCGAUCAUGCCCACCCACCCACAGGCUUAUGUUGAGAAUGAAAUCAGAUCAUGACUACAAAGCAUUGAGGACGGGGCCUGACCGGCCUAAUGGCACUUGCUGGUAGUGUCAUCAUUGGCUUCUGUAUUGGAAACACAUGUAGCUGCCUUCUAGAAGCUUACGGUCCCGCCGGGGCUGUGGGACGCACGCACGGAUUUAGGAAGGAGAGAGGGGAUGUUGCCUCGCUGUGAUGUGGAUGGGAGACACUUGACGGAGACAUCAUGUAACAUGGGGGCCCCCGUGCCAGCUCCGGGGGUGUGGGCCGCCUGGUGGUCUUUGUGGAUGGUGCAGUGGUCGCCAAGGUUGGGAUUUUGGCUGUGACCAUGAAGGACGGGUGGAAUUUGGGUAGAUGGAAGAAGGCUGACGAUAGAGCCGGUGGGAGUAAACCAGCUUCUUUCAGAGGAAGGGGAGACCUCCCAGCUGGCAGGAGGGACGUUGGCCCUGAGAAUGAGGAGGCUGUGAGGGUGCAGGGGCCUCCAGGGUUUUGUUGCUUUCCAGCUGCCUGGGCUGGGUGGAGUGGACCUUCUGGUGUGAUGGGUACUCAUCACGGGGAAGGGCCUCUGUUCUCUUUGUAUUUUCUUCAGUCCGGCCUCCUUCGUGUAGGGCGGAGCUUGCUGUAUUUCCUAAAGGGCACUUCUCUCUGAUCGCCCUUGGGUCUGGGUGAGUGACCCAGAAGGUUCUCUUGCUCUGUCUGCCAGGGUUUGUUCUAUUUCAUUCAUGUCUCUCAGACCUCCUUUUGUUAAAAACCACGCGGACUCAGUCUGCGGUGAGAUGACGAUGCUGUGUGGCCGCCUUCCCUGGGUCAAUCUGUAUAGCUUUGGUGUCUUUUUAACUUCUUUUUAAUUUUUUUUUUCUUUUCUUCACUGUAUGGGAUUUAUUCUGAUCUUUAAGGGCCCUGACAUGCUUUAAGGAUAUCAUGACAUACACGAGGUGGCAAGAAACCCUAUUCCUUAUGAUCUGACUUCCAUUAGUUUUGAGGCAUGUCUUUGGUAGAUUUUGGCUUUUUGGAAGUCCAUCUGACAUCUUUGGUAGAUUUUGGCUUUGAGGAUGUAAAUAAAACCAUAAUGAGCAAAAAGUAAAAAAGUGUAUUCAAUUAACUUGUAAGUCACUUGAGGUCAGUGAAUCAUCUGAGUUAUUUUAUAAAACACACUUUAUUGGCUAUUCGGUGUUACCUGAUGCUCUAAAGCGGGGGUCAGCAAACUCUCCGUAAAAGGGCCAGAGAGCCAUUAUUUUAGGCUUCUGGGUCAGUUCUCUGUCAUAAAUACUCAAUUCUGCCUUUGUGGUGUGAAAGCAGAUAUAGAUAAUAGAUGGAUGUGGCUGUUUUGCAAUAAACAAAUUUUAUUUGUGGAAAUAGAUGGUGGGCCAGCUUUGGCUCUCUGAAGUAGUCUGCUAACCCCUACUCUAAAGGAAACAGAUUUUGUUAGAUUGGGACGGUAAGGAGACAUUUAAAAGUAGGUAAAUGACAACAUUUCCAGCUAAUUAGCUCCACCAAAAGCUUAAAAAAGGUUUUUCUUCUAUUGUUUGAAUUAAAUUUCAUGUUUCAUAUUGAGUUUAUAAAUAAGCCUUAAAUAUCAUUUAUAGGGUUUGCUUUUUUUUUUUUUUUUAAAGCUAGGAUCUAAGGUUCAAAACAUGCCUGUCUUUAUUAAGUAACCAUUUAUUAAAUGUUUUUCUUGUGUCAGGCACUGUGCAAGUCAUUGGAAAUUCACAAAUAACUUAGGCACACACCUUUCCUCUUGGAAGCCACAGUCUAGACUGUGCACUCAUCAUUGCCAAAUGUUGGCUCAUGCCUUGGACCACAGCACAUAUAUGGCCCACGGUCCCCAGGAACCUGUAUUCCAAAAGAGCCAAAUGUUGGCUUGUGCCUUGGACCACAGCACAUAUAUGGCCCACGGUCCCAAGGAACCUGUAUUCCAAAAGAGCCAAAUGUUGGCUCGUGCCUUGGACCACAGCACAUAUAUGGCCCACGGUCCCCAGGAACCUGUAUUCCAAAAGGGCCUCUGUCUGCUUCAUGUGCAUUUGGGACUUGAGUAGUUUUGUUUCUUUUGAUUUGUGUAUUGUUGGAGAAAGCCUGCUUGAGGAAUUUACAAGUGGCGAAAAUAUUUAUUUUAGUAGCUCAGUUGCCAAAAAUCUCAGUCUUGAUGAUUCAAAAAGUUAUGUGUUUUCCUGCCCUUUGUAGUUUUUACUUAGUCACCCUAAUUCACUUUUUGAGUUUUUACUAAGUUCUCCCUACCAAAUUAUGGGCCAGCCCCGCCAGACUGCAGAGGAUGCUUUUCUAGAAGUAUUGAAACACACAGGUAUCCAGGAUUCUUGUGUGUCUACAGUGCUCCCAGAGUGGUGCUCUCUGGACCAGAGCCACUAGGCCCUUGCAGAUUGGGUGGAAAUGUUGACUAGCCUAGGGGGAGGCCAUUCCUGGAGGAGGAAGCUGGAUAGUGUGAAUGGGUGUGGGAUGCGAGCUCUCCCAGCCCAGAUGGCCGGGUGGGGACUCUGACAGAGGGGGGACCUUGGAAGCCAGACUGACAUUUCCUGGGAUGGGACAUAGCAGAGAUAGGAAGUUGAUCACUAAGUAGAGGAAUGCCAUGAGAAAGUGGGGCUUUGGAGGGAUCGGUCCUUCUAUCAGCCAAAUGCAAGCUGGUAGGGAGAGGGAGGGAGGAAGGGAGGGAGAGAGGAGGUGGGAAAGAUUUGGGCUCAGGUGGUAUGCAGAAACCUUUGGGAGAGGGGGGCUUUCACCUUCUUUUUCUCCGCAUAAUUAUAAAAAAUUUGCCAAAAGAACUGCUCUGGUAGAGUUUCCUGGGGUGAGAGGAAGUACUUUGGGUUGAGAUGAGGGACGAAAAUUUGAGAAAAAGGUACGUUUUUACAAUCACAGUUGGGAGUGCUGAGCAUGUGAGGAGGGAAUGAAUAUAAAGUUAUAUAAAUAGCAGCCAUUUAUGUAUUUGUCUAUUCCUCUAUAAAAAUACAGAGGAAAGGCCUUUUUAUUUUUCCUCGUUUCUUCUGAAGUAGCAGCUUGUUUUGAAAGAGAAGGGAAAUUCUAGUUUGUCCCUUUGGGGUCUUGAAGAGGCAGCUGGUGGUAGUAAGAUGGGCUUGACUUACAGUAUUUGAAGCACCAAGAAGUGUCUGCAUAAGGUUUUAAACCUGCACAGGCGCACAGGAAUGGCAUCACGCCUAUCUGAAGUAUUUCAGAAAUGAAAAAGAAAAAUAAUAACUUCCAAAGGUGCGAGUGAUUUCUGCAGAUACGUCACAGUUCAUAGAGAAGAGUGUCAUCUGCGUCUGGUGACACUGAUGGGGUCCCUGUGUACCGGGUGGGAUGCAGUCCGCCUUCAAGUCUGUUUUGUUGUCAGCACUGCGGUAUUUUCUCUUCAACAAGAUAACCUUGGCAUCCUCCCUCUGUUAACUUUUUGUGUCCUGAUUACCUUGGAAUGAAAGUCCUAAAAUAGAAAACUGUGGGUUA